UGCCCCUUUUAAGGUUGACACAGUGCUUUAAGGCUAACACAAAAGGGGAAAAUAAGUCUCCAUACAACCCAUAGAUGAGACUAUAAAGCUCCUCUUUGGAGGAGCUGGACUCCUGUCUGGAGUCACGGCU
Molecule: small nucleolar RNA, 130 nt
Filed under: Saimiri boliviensis boliviensis (Bolivian squirrel monkey)
Lineage: Eukaryota; Metazoa; Chordata; Mammalia; Primates; Cebidae
Description: Small nucleolar RNA SNORA26 (ENSSBOG00000001081.1)
Rfam family: Small nucleolar RNA SNORA26
About the family: The snoRNA HBI-6 belong to the H/ACA family of snoRNAs, guiding the pseudouridylation of position U4522 if the 28S rRNA. HBI-6 is the human orthologue of mouse MBI-6 snoRNA.
Source: Rfam by way of RNAcentral